RNAcentral lists this ribosomal RNA (497 nucleotides) under uncultured bacterium. Its description in RNAcentral is "partial 16S ribosomal RNA". It matches the Rfam family "Bacterial small subunit ribosomal RNA", at positions 28 to 507 of the family's 1533-position model. The record is from RNAcentral.
GACGAACGCUGGCGGCGUGCCUAAUACAUGCAAGUAGAACGCUGAAGAGAGGAGCUUGCUCUUCUUGGAUGAGUUGCGAACGGGUGAGUAACGCGUAGGUAACCUGCCUUGUAGCGGGGGAUAACUAUUGGAAACGAUAGCUAAUACCGCAUAACAAUGGAUGACACAUGUCAUUUAUUUGAAAGGGGCAAUUGCUCCACUACAAGAUGGACCUGCGUUGUAUUAGCUAGUAGGCGAGGUAAUGGCUCACCUAGGCGACGAUACAUAGCCGACCUGAGAGGGUGAUCGGCCACACUGGGACUGAGACACGGCCCAGACUCCUACGGGAGGCAGCAGUAGGGAAUCUUCGGCAAUGGGGGCAACCCUGACCGAGCAACGCCGCGUGAGUGAAGAAGGGUUUCGGAUCGUAAAGCUCUGUUGUAAGUCAAGAACGGGUGUGAGAGUGGAAAGUUCACACUGUGACGGUAGCUUACCAGAAAGGGACGGCUAACUACGUG